AUUGAACGCUGGCGGCAUGCCUUACACAUGCAAGUCGAACGGCAGCACGGGAGCAAUCCUGGUGGCGAGUGGCGAACGGGUGAGUAAAGUAUCGGAACGUGCCCAGUCGUGGGGGAUAACGUAGCGAAAGUUACGCUAAUACCGCAUACGAACUAUGGAUGAAAGCGGGGGAUCGCAAGAACUCGCGCGAUUGGAGCGGCCGAUAUCAGAUUAGGUAGUUGGUGGGGUAAAGGCUCACCAAGCCGACGAUCUGUAGCUGGUCUGAGAGGAAGACCAGCCACACUGGGACUGAGACACGGCCCAGACUCCUACGGGAGGCAGCAGUGGGGAAUUUUGGACAAUGGGCGCAAGCCUGAUCCAGCCAUGCCGCGUGCAGGAUGAAGGCCUUCGGGUUGUAAACUGCUUUUGUACGGAACGAAAAGGUUUGACUUAAUACGUUGGACUCAUGACGGUACCGUAAGAAUAAGCACCGGCUAACUACGUGCCAGCCGCCGCCGUAA
This 500-nucleotide ribosomal RNA is filed under the name uncultured bacterium. RNAcentral's name for it is "partial 16S ribosomal RNA". It matches the Rfam family "Bacterial small subunit ribosomal RNA", at positions 30 to 523 of the family's 1533-position model. The record is from RNAcentral.